ACGUGACGCCGGGCCCCUCUGACGGCUGCCGCCGCCAUGUCGGAGUCACCGA
Non-coding RNA from Azotobacter vinelandii DJ, 52 nucleotides. Lineage: Bacteria; Pseudomonadati; Pseudomonadota; Gammaproteobacteria; Pseudomonadales; Pseudomonadaceae. The record is from Rfam.